CACGUAGGCGGAUUGUUAAGUCGGGGGUGAAAUCCUGGAGCUCAACUCCAGAACUGCCUUCGAUACUGGCGAUCUCGAGUCCGGGAGAGGUGAGUGGAACUCCGAGUGUAGAGGUGAAAUUCGUAGAUAUUCGGAAGAACACCAGUGGCGAAGGCGGCUCACUGGCCCGGUACUGACGCUGAGGUGCGAAAGCGUGGGGAGCAAACA
Molecule: ribosomal RNA, 207 nt
Filed under: uncultured bacterium
Lineage: Bacteria
Description: partial 16S ribosomal RNA
Rfam family: Bacterial small subunit ribosomal RNA
Source: RNAcentral